RNAcentral lists this ribosomal RNA (674 nucleotides) under Brachybacterium sp. Its description in RNAcentral is "bacterial SSU rRNA". It matches the Rfam family "Bacterial small subunit ribosomal RNA", at positions 352 to 1039 of the family's 1533-position model. Lineage: Bacteria; Bacillati; Actinomycetota; Actinomycetes; Micrococcales; Dermabacteraceae. The record is from RNAcentral.
CAGUGGGGAAUAUUGCACAAUGGGCGAAAGCCUGAUGCAGCGACGCCGCGUGGGGGAUGACGGCCUUCGGGUUGUAAACCCCUUUCAGUAGGGAAGAAGCGAGAGUGACGGUACCUGCAGAAGAAGCGCCGGCUAACUACGUGCCAGCAGCCGCGGUAAUACGUAGGGCGCAAGCGUUGUCCGGAAUUAUUGGGCGUAAAGAGCUUGUAGGUGGCUUGUCGCGUCUGCCGUGAAAACCCGAGGCUCAACCUCGGGCGUGCGGUGGGUACGGGCAGGCUAGAGUGUGGUAGGGGAGACUGGAACUCCUGGUGUAGCGGUGAAAUGCGCAGAUAUCAGGAAGAACACCGAUGGCGAAGGCAGGUCUCUGGGCCAUUACUGACACUGAGAAGCGAAAGCAUGGGUAGCGAACAGGAUUAGAUACCCUGGUAGUCCAUGCCGUAAACGUUGGGCACUAGGUGUGGGGGACAUUCCACGUUUUCCGCGCCGUAGCUAACGCAUUAAGUGCCCCGCCUGGGGAGUACGGCCGCAAGGCUAAAACUCAAAGGAAUUGACGGGGGCCCGCACAAGCGGCGGAGCAUGCUGAUUAAUUCGAUGCAACGCGAAGAACCUUACCAAGGCUUGACAUGCACUGGACGGCUGCAGAGAUGUGGCUUUCUUUGGACUGGUGCACAGGU